AGUUCAAAGGGCGUGAAACCGCUUAGAAGAAAACGGACGGAGCCGUCGGGAGCCUUCGGGAAUCAGUCUCGCGAUAGGCGAACGUGCGGCGAUUCGGAACGCAAGUCCGAUCGUUGUGCGGCUAGUAGCUUUCGCUUGGCGCAUUUCUCGAAGGUAAGCACCGCGACCGAUACGAAAGGCCGACGAAGCGUUUGGAUUGAGGGCGAGUCCUCUCACGGGGGCUCGUAACCAGUCCUUACGUCGUUUAGUCGUCGGACCGCAGUAUGUAUCGAUAGCCAAAGUUAUAUUAUAUACGCCGGCCGUAAAGCUCGCUCGAGUAAUGGAUAGUUGGUCAAUAGUGUUGGUACUUGCUCGCAGGUGCUAAUCUAUUCGAUUCGGCUUUUGAAGUUAUCGGCGACGUUUCGGCGUAUAGGCGUCGGCGGUGUCAGUGUCGGCCACCCAUCCGACCCGUCUUGAAACACGGACCAAGGAGUCUAACAUAUGCGCGAGCUAAUGGGUGGAAAACCCAAAAGCGUAAUAAAAGUAAACGCCGUUUCGGACGGCUAAGGUACGAUCCUAGUGUCCUUUGCGACAUUAGGCGCAGUACUGUCCCGUCCCGACCGCAUGUCGGUAGGGCGGAGAUAGAGUGCAUACGUUGGGACCCGAAAGAUGGUGAACUAUGCCUGAGCAGAGCGAAGCCAGAGGAAACUCUGGUGGAGGUUCGUAGCGGUUCUGACGUGCAAAUCGAUCGUCAGACUUGGGUA
Molecule: ribosomal RNA, 743 nt
Filed under: Aporcelaimellus obtusicaudatus
Lineage: Eukaryota; Metazoa; Nematoda; Enoplea; Dorylaimida; Aporcelaimidae
Description: partial large subunit ribosomal RNA
Rfam family: Eukaryotic large subunit ribosomal RNA
Source: RNAcentral